Molecule: ribosomal RNA, 497 nt
Filed under: uncultured bacterium
Lineage: Bacteria
Description: partial 16S ribosomal RNA
Rfam family: Bacterial small subunit ribosomal RNA
Source: RNAcentral
GACGAACGCUGGCGGCGUGCCUAAUACAUGCAAGUUGAGCGCUGAAGGUUGGUACUUGUACCAACUGGAUGAGCAGCGAACGGGUGAGUAACGCGUGGGGGAUCUGCCUUUGAGCGGGGGACAACAUUUGGAAACGAAUGCUAAUACCGCAUAAAAACUUUAAACACAAGUUUUAAGUUUGAAAGAUGCAAUUGCAUCACUCAAAGAUGAUCCCGCGUUGUAUUAGCUAGUUGGUGAGGUAAAGGCUCACCAAGGCGAUGAUACAUAGCCGACCUGAGAGGGUGAUCGGCCACAUUGGGACUGAGACACGGCCCAAACUCCUACGGGAGGCAGCAGUAGGGAAUCUUCGGCAAUGGACGAAAGUCUGACCGAGCAACGCCGCGUGAGUGAAGAAGGUUGUCGGAUCGUAAAACUCUGUUGGUAGAGAAGAACGUUGGUGAGAGUGGAAAGCUCAUCAAGUGACGGUAACUACCCAGAAAGGGACGGCUAACUACGUG